GCAUAUCAAUAAGCGGAGGAAAAGAAACCAACCGGGAUUGCCCCAGUAACGGCGAGUGAAGCGGCAAGAGCUCAAAUUUGAAAUCUGGCCCCCCCGGGGCCCGAGUUGUAAUUUGCAGAGGAUGCUUCGGGUGCGGCCCCUGUCUAAGUGCCCUGGAACGGGCCGUCAGAGAGGGUGAGAAUCCCGUCUUGGGCAGGGUGCCCGUGCCCGUGUGAAGCUCCUUCGACGAGUCGAGUUGUUUGGGAAUGCAGCUCUAAAUGGGUGGUAAAUUUCAUCUAAAGCUAAAUACCGGCCGGAGACCGAUAGCGCACAAGUAGAGUGAUCGAAAGAUGAAAAGCACUUUGAAAAGAGAGUUAAAUAGCACGUGAAAUUGUUGAAAGGGAAGCGCUUGCGACCAGACUCGCCCCCGGGGUUCAGCCAGCACUCGUGCUGGUGUACUUCCCCGUGGGCGGGCCAGCGUCGGUUCGGGGGGCCGGUCAAAGGCCCCGGGAAUGUAUCGCCCUCCGGGGCGUCUUAUAGCCCGGGGUGCAAUGCGGCCAGCCCGGACCGAGGAACGCGCUUCGGCACGGACGCUGGCGUAAUGGUCGCAAACGACCCGUCUUGAAACACGGACCAAGGAGUCUAACAUCUACGCGAGUGUUCGGGUGUCAAACCCGUACGCGCAGUGAAAGCGAACGGAGGUGGGAGCCCCCCCGGGGGCGCACCAUCGACCGAUCCUGAUGUCUUCGGAUGGAUUUGAGUACGAGCGUAGCUGUGGGGACCCGAAAGAUGGUGAACUAUGCCUGAAUAGGGCGAAGCCAGAGGAAACUCUGGUGGAGGCUCGCAGCGGUUCUGACGUGCAAAUCGAUCGUCAAAUUUGGGUAUAGGGGCGAAAGACUAAUCGAACCAUCUGGUAGCUGGUUCCUGCGA
Molecule: ribosomal RNA, 909 nt
Filed under: Aspergillus raperi
Lineage: Eukaryota; Fungi; Ascomycota; Eurotiomycetes; Eurotiales; Aspergillaceae
Description: LSU rRNA
Rfam family: Eukaryotic large subunit ribosomal RNA
Source: RNAcentral